Molecule: ribosomal RNA, 668 nt
Filed under: uncultured bacterium
Lineage: Bacteria
Description: bacterial SSU rRNA
Rfam family: Bacterial small subunit ribosomal RNA
Source: RNAcentral
AAGUCCCCUUCGGGGGACAAGUAGAGUGGCGCACGGGUGAGUAACACGUAGGUAAUCUACCUUCGGAUGGGGAAUAACAGCCGGAAACGGCUGCUAAUACCGCAUGAUGCAGCGGCACCUCAUGGUGACAGUUGUUAAAGCGGGGGAUUCUUCGGAACCUCGCGCCUGAAGAGAAGCUCGCGGCAGAUUAGCUAGUUGGUAGGGUAACGGCCUACCAAGGCAACGAUCUGUAGCCGGCCUGAGAGGGCGGUCGGCCACACUGACACUGACACACGGGUCAGACUCCUACGGGAGGCAGCAGUCGGGAAUUUUGGGCAAUGGGCGAAAGCCUGACCCAGCAACGCCGCGUGAAGGAUGAAGUAUUUCGGUAUGUAAACUUCACAAGAAUGGGAAGAAUAAGUCGGGGUUAAUACCCCCGAUGAUGACGGUACCAUUUGUAAGCUCCGGCUAACUCCGUGCCAGCAGCCGCGGUAAUACGGGGGGAGCAAGCGUUGUUCGGAUUUACUGGGCGUAAAGGGCGCGUAGGCGGCGCAACAAGUCACUUGUGAAAUCUCCGGGCUUAACCCGGAGCGGUCAAGUGAUACUGUCGUGCUAGAGUGCGGAAGGGGCAACUGGAAUUCUCGGUGUAGCGGUGAAAUGCGUAGAUAUCGAGAGGAACACCUGCGGCG